GCGGCCGCCCAAGGCGUCGCGUGCAACGCCGGUCGGCCGCUUACGUCAAUAAUCGCUCCGAUUGCUCCUCGUAAUUUUCUUCAAAAUGCAGAUAUUAAUCCCAAUAUUUAUUUAAGCUCGUAAAACUAUUUAUUUCGAACAUAGGAUAAAAAUUAUUAAACUUCCACAUUAUCCGGAAAUUAGUUAAAUAAUUCCCCAUAAGUAAUUUAUCGGCCCAAAACUUAAUUCGUUCCCACCUUAUGUCUUUAAUUUAAUUAAUCAAUACCCCCACUAAAGAAGGCCCAAACCAUUUAAUUAAAAGUCCAAGAUUUAAUUAUUUCCUCCACUUUAUCUUCAAUUACAAUUUUAAGCCCAACAAUUAAACAUUCUACCCACUUCUAAUUAAUGAGGCCCAAACUUAAAGAAAACAAAAGCCCAAGAAUCCAAACUCCUUCCUUCACUCACGUAACACCCUCUCUCUCUCUCUACCCCCUUCUUCUUUCUCGACGGAAAUCGCAGCAGAUCGCCGCCUUGACCGCCUCCGCCGUCGGCCGCUGCUCUCGGCACGCCGUUCGCUCUGAGCCAUCUCCAACCGCUGCACCCGACGCCGUCGCUGCUGUUUCGCGCCGCUGCCGCUCGUCGCCGGAGUCCGCCGCUGCUGUAUCGCCGUCCAGCCGCCAGCCACUGCGGUCGUCGCUCCCGGCGUUCAGUCAUCGCACAUCCAACUCCGCUGGAGCCGUCGGGAGAGCGACGCCGCUGCUGUCAGCGACGCGUGCGUCGGUAAUUUCCGCCAUCCGUUGCUCCGAUUCACCCCGAAUCAGACCCGACGCCCCCAACACUCACUCGAUUCUCCCCGCGAGUUAAGUUUCUCAGAUUCGAUUCCAGUUCAUUAAAGUUCGCUCCUUUUAUUAUUUUUUCCAGUUUUCUUUGAUUAAUCGUUUAAGAGGUAAAUUCACAGAUUUAUCGAUGAUAGCGUUUGACGUAAAGAUGCAGCAGUUUCAAAUCGAGAUUGGUUGGAGGGGGUGUAUACCUUCACUAAUCUGAGACGGUCAGAUUGGUAAUGGAGACUAGCAGUGGAUGGAAAAGAGUGUGUGGCUUGAUUCUCUUUCUCGGUCCUGUUCAAGAAGUUCAAUGCGUUUGGCGAUUUGAUUUAGAAGUAAAAACGUGUACAGUGAUAGAGUUCGCAAGAAUACCUUGAGUAGGAAUUUGAAGAGAAGUUCUGUUUUGCUGCAGGGAUGGGAAGAAAGAAACGAAGAGUGAAAUCUGUAUUAUAGAGGAGUAGUAGAUUUGGUGGAGAGAUUGGAGAGAUUCAUGAGAGAGAGAGACGGUUGCAGCAUCGUGUGUUGGGGAGUGGGAGUUUCGGUUUCUUUCUUUUUUUUUUUUCUCUUUCUGAUUUACUUGAAUUUAUCUGGUAUUUUAUUUAUAGGUUACGGGGGAGGAAAAAUUCCAUCACGGAGCAGGAAAAUCUACGUAAAAUCUUUAAUUAAAUCUUGAAUUAAAGAUAUUUUAUUUUAGUUGGUUUAGAUUAAUUCACAGCCCGUUGUAUUUUAUUUUAAAUUGUGCAGUCCAUUUAUUUAUCACGGACUGGACCUUUAUUUAA
Molecule: long non-coding RNA, 1579 nt
Organism: Salvia splendens (bonfire salvia)
Lineage: Eukaryota; Viridiplantae; Streptophyta; Magnoliopsida; Lamiales; Lamiaceae
Exons: 2
Source: RefSeq, a predicted model, not a curated record